RNAcentral lists this transfer RNA (76 nucleotides) under Nitrosarchaeum sp. Its description in RNAcentral is "tRNA-Thr". It matches the Rfam family "tRNA". From Rfam's summary of the family: Transfer RNA (tRNA) molecules are approximately 80 nucleotides in length. Their secondary structure includes four short double-helical elements and three loops (D, anti-codon, and T loops). Lineage: Archaea; Thermoproteati; Nitrososphaerota; Nitrososphaeria; Nitrosopumilales; Nitrosopumilaceae. The record is from RNAcentral.
GCCGGCGUAGCUCAGCUGAUAGAGCAGUCGCCUUGUAAGCGACAGGUCGGGGGUUUGAAUCCCUCUGCCGGCUCCA